Long non-coding RNA from Cyprinus carpio carpio, 1126 nucleotides. NCBI's taxonomy places the organism in Eukaryota, Metazoa, Chordata, Actinopteri, Cypriniformes, Cyprinidae. The record is from Ensembl.
GUGUGUGUGUGUGUGUGUGUGUGUGUGUGUAAGCUGAUCUCUGACAAUGGCCACCCAGAGAAAACGGAACUCUGCUAGCCUAAAGGGUCGCAGAUAUACCUCUGUUUGUUCAGGGUUUAGCGCCUUUCUUUGGGCAGGAAAGAUCAGGCCUGUGGAACUAAAUUUAGGCCUGUACAUAUGGACAAAGGACUCAAGCCAACGUGCCCUGACAGUGAGGCUGAGCAGAGUUUUGCAUUCAUUCGUUGUACUGAAAACUAUCCAAAGUGGAACAUGAAAUCCCAGAUAUCUACUACGACUGCAAGGGAGCUCACAUUAGCCUCACGUGCAGAGAGUAAAGCCUCCGUCCACCCGUGAUCGUCCUGAACACGAGGCAGCGAACGCAAACCACCCAGACCUCCCAGGAAGCCAAAUCAGCAGCAGCAAGCCUGCGGGCCACAGACUCCCACAUAGAAGAAAAACGCUCAGACUCUGGAUCCUGUGCACCAGAGCAAACCCAGUGGCUUUUCCACUUUAAUCCAUUACUUAUUUAUUUUUGUUCCAUUUGUAUUUGACAUUGACAGAGGGUAACCAUUGGUUUGCACUGCAUGAAUGUAAUACAGUGAUGCUAGGAAUGUUAGCAUGUGACUGGAUAAUACAGUUUAUACUUGGCUGCAGCUUCCAUUCACGAACAUUUUAUUGCAUUACAGCUAAUCGUGGCAAUAUUACCAGUCACAAAUGGGUUCAUAUUACACCUGUCUUACACACGCUGCACUGGUUACCACUACAGUACCGCUAAAAAGUAGGGGAGACUUAUGAAACACUCUGCCUCUAUCUAUCUAUCUAUCUAUCUAUCUAUCAGAUCUGCAUCUACAGUGUCUGAAUUUAAAUAUCUGUUGAAAACUCACCUUUUCUCCUGUGCUUUUAAUGAUAUGUGAUUGGGUUGUUGUAUGGUUACUGUAUAUGGAUCUUAUUGUUGCUUUUAAGUCUAUGCAAUAUUAAUGCAGCGAUUUGGUCUGUUCGUUUUUUUUUUUUAAAUGUUGUAAUUAGGUUUAUGCUCCAUGUACAGCACUUUGGUCAAAUAAAGUUGUUUUAAAUGUGCUUUAGAAAUAAAUUAAACAAAUAAAUAUCAACAGAUGUGUUUGACUGA